CAGGGGAUGAACCAGUCAAGGAUCUUCUUGACGUGAUCCCCCAGCGCCCGGGUGGAGAAGCCUGAGGAUUCUGUUCAUCCACAGCUGCAAACACUGGACCAGCUGCCUUCACGCCGUGAACAUCAUCGAAAUAAUCGUCCAGUAAUGCUUCAUUGCACGAAAACUUAGCUUCAAUGUCAUUCUCCUAGAUAGGAGCCGGUGUGCUGCUGUUGUAUUUGAAGAAAAGUUUAAUGUUAACAUGCAUGUCAACGUUUAGGAUUAUACAUGUCUUGCGUAUCAGAAGUGAUGAUAUUUCAUACUGUUAGUACACAAAUAUAAAUACAGGAACUCUUGAUCUUGACAUCAACAAGCUGAUAUCUAAAACCCAAAUCUACGCCGCUUUUUCCUGAAAUCUAUAUGCUACCAAAAAUUAACAAAUAGAGAGAAUAACUCCUUUUUUAAUGCUGGGGAAAGGGUUCAUUGUUUUAAAAUCUUUGCUAACCGAACAAUGUGGAAAAAUGCAGACUUUGUCAUCAUGAAUGUUCCCAUUUGGCCAUUACAUAACAAGUUGAAAUGUAGUUGAUGAGGGGAUUUGUCUAUGUCACAUUCAGAAUGACCAUAGUAACUUUUACACUUAUAUUGACAACUUAACAUCUUAGUACUAUGAAUGAUCUAGACCAUGUUUCUGGUUUGAUGUAAGUCACCUGGACCUCUUUGUACUAUUGGGCAGAUCAGCAAACAAGCUUGGUGUGCGUGAGCA
Molecule: long non-coding RNA, 739 nt
Organism: Branchiostoma floridae (Florida lancelet)
Lineage: Eukaryota; Metazoa; Chordata; Leptocardii; Amphioxiformes; Branchiostomatidae
Exons: 2
Source: RefSeq, a predicted model, not a curated record